Molecule: ribosomal RNA, 497 nt
Filed under: uncultured bacterium
Lineage: Bacteria
Description: partial 16S ribosomal RNA
Rfam family: Bacterial small subunit ribosomal RNA
Source: RNAcentral
GAUGAACGCUGGCGGCGUGCCUAAUACAUGCAAGUCGAGCGAACAGACGAGGAGCUUGCUCCUCUGACGUUAGCGGCGGACGGGUGAGUAACACGUGGAUAACCUACCUAUAAGACUGGGAUAACUUCGGGAAACCGGAGCUAAUACCGGAUAAUAUAUUGAACCGCAUGGUUCAAUAGUGAAAGACGGUUUUGCUGUCACUUCUAGAUGGAUCCGCGCCGCAUUAGCUAGUUGGUAAGGUAACGGCUUACCAAGGCAACGAUGCGUAGCCGACCUGAGAGGGUGAUCGGCCACACUGGAACUGAGACACGGUCCAGACUCUUACGGGAGGCAGCAGUAGGGAAUCUUCCGCAAUGGGCGAAAGCCUGACGGAGCAACGCCGCGUGAGUGAUGAAGGUCUUCGGAUCGUAAAACUCUGUUAUUAGGGAAGAACAAAUGUGUAAGUAACUAUGCACGUCUUGACGGUACCUAAUCAGAAAGCCACGGCUAACUACGUG